UACGUAGGGUGCGAGCGUUAAUCGGAAUUACUGGGCGUAAAGCGUGCGCAGGCGGUUUUGUAAGCCAGAUGUGAAAUCCCCGGGCUUAACCUGGGAAUGGCAUUUGGGACUGCAAGGCUUGAGUGUGGCAGAGGGGACUGGAAUUCCUGGUGUAGCAGUGAAAUGCGUAGAUAUCAGGAGGAAUACCGAUGGCGAAGGCAGGUCUCUGGGCUGACACUGACGCUCAUGCACGAAAGGCGUGGGGAGCAAACAGGAUU
This 257-nucleotide ribosomal RNA is filed under the name uncultured bacterium. RNAcentral describes it as "partial 16S ribosomal RNA". It matches the Rfam family "Bacterial small subunit ribosomal RNA", at positions 524 to 779 of the family's 1533-position model. The record is from RNAcentral.